Molecule: long non-coding RNA, 5920 nt
Organism: Anolis carolinensis (green anole)
Lineage: Eukaryota; Metazoa; Chordata; Lepidosauria; Squamata; Anolidae
Exons: 2
Source: RefSeq, a predicted model, not a curated record
GUUCAGUGCCUUCCAUGUUGCCCAGUCUUCUGUGUGCCCAGGAGGGAGCUUCUCAUCUGGUAUCAGCCACUGAUUGAGGUUCCGGGUUUUAGCAUGCCACCUUUGGACUCACAUUUGCUAAGUUGUUCCUGUGAGUAUUUCUGUUUAUCUUAGGAAGCUAUUUCUUGAUGUAAGGUAUUGGCAUGCUGGCUGAUAUCUGAACAGAGGAUGGGCCAGAGAUGUCAAUGCCUUGGUCCUCUCAUUACUGGCUGCUGCUUCCCAACAGAUGUCAGGUAGUGUGAUACCAGCUAAACAGUAUAAUUUCUCCAGUGGUUAGGGUGUAGACAUUCUGUGAUAAUACAGCAUAUCUCAUAAAGAGCCAGGUCCACUGUUUUAACAUUGUGAGAUGUAUUCCACACUGGGCAUGUGUAUUCAGCAGCAGAGUAGCAAAGCACAAUAGCAGGUGCCUUUACUGUAUCUGGUUGUGAUCCCCAGGUUGUGCCAGUCAGCUUUUGUACGAUAUUAUUUAUAGCACCCACUUUUUGCUUGAUAGUCAAGCAGUGCUUCUUGUAAGUCAGAGCAUGGUCCAGGGUAACUCCCAAGUAUUUUGUUGUGUUGCAAUGUUUCGCUGGUAAACAUUUACUUCUCAGGACCUUGGUUAUUGUGGAGUAAAAAGACAUAUCUUUGACAUAAAUGGGAUCAGUUAACAUUUUCUCUGAAUAUCUGCUAUUUCAAUUAUUUUUUAAAAAAGAGAAUAAAUGCAUUAAUUUUAAGUCUUUAAUCAUAUCCAUUCUUCAACUCAAUUACAACAAUCGUUUCAUUAAAUUAAUAUUGUAAUUGUCCUCCUUUACAGAUAAAAGAAACAAAAUUAGUAGGAAUGCUCAAUAGCUGAGGCGAGGGAUUGUAUGUUCCAGAAGUGGGCCCAGUGCCGCAAUUCAAAAAGGAUAUUGACAAGUUGGAAUGUGUUCAGAGAAGACUGAACAAAAUGGUCAAAGGUCUGAAAGCCAAGCCCUACGAGGAACAACUUAGGGUGUUGGGUAUGUUUUAAGACAGUGGUCUCAACCUUUCUAAUGCCGUAACCCCUUAAUACAGUUCCUCAGGUUUAGGUGACUCCCAACCAUAAAAUUAUUUUAUCUGAGAAAUGAUUAUAUAACACUAAUAACUGGGAACUAUUGCACGGUAUGCAACAAGCACUUAUAAAUGUAUGCCUAUUUGAAUAAGUAAAUAAAUAAAAGGGGAAAAUAAUAAAAUUAUUUUCAUUGCUACUUCCUAACUGUAAUUUUGCUACUGUUAUGAAUCGUAAUGUAAAUAUCUGAAUUGCAGGAUGUAUUUUCACUCAAAUAUGGCACAGAUACCUGAUACACCCAAAUUUGAAUAGUGGUGGGGUUGGAGGGGGGGAGGUUAAUUUUGUCAUUUGGGAGUUGUAGUUGCUGGGAUUUAUAGUUAACCUACAAUCAAAGGACAUUCUGAACCCAGCCCACAAUGGAUCUGCACUAAAUUUGGCAUACUACAUGGUCAACAUUGAAUACUGGUGGGAUUGGGGGAGGCUGUUUUUGAAUUCUGGAAGUUAUAGUUUACCAAUAUUCAAAGAGCACCCUGUACCAAACUGGUGAUAGAACUAGUAAACUUGCCACACAUACUCAUCAUCCCAAAGGACAGGCGGGGAGAUCUUCAGACUUCUCUGCCAAAGGGGUUCCUAAGACCAUCAGAAACAUGUGUUUUCUGGUGGUCUUUCGCGACCCCUCUGACACCUCCCUCGCAACCCCUAGGGGUCCUAACUCCCAGGUUGAGAAAUGCUGUUUUAAGAGAAGGUUAAGAGGCAUGAGACAAACUGGAACCACAGGAAAACAAGACUACAUUACAGGAUCAAACUCCAAGGUAAUCCAAGGUAAUAGAAAUCCAAAUAGCAAAGUUACUUGAACAAUCAACUGGAUUAAAAGGCAACACAAGGCUGGAACUUGAAGCAAAAUCCAUGGCUGCAGGAAUAUACAGGAACACAGAGCAAAGAUCUUUCUCUCUUGAAUUGCAAUGUUGCCACCUCUGCUACGGCAGAGAAGGACCAGGCAUUUAAGGAAAAUCCAAGGUCUUUCUUCCAUGAGAAAACUCUUUCUCUCAUGAGAAAACUAUUCAUUAGAGUGCUUCAAAAGCAGUCGUUUACUUCUCUGCAAACAUUCUCAUUCCCUCCUUUGAUGAGUUAUCACUCCCCUCCUGUCAAACCCAUUAUCCUCUAAACUAGAAUGCCCAUCUGGCACCUGGAAAUCUGGCCUUGACUGCUGAGAGGAAUGCGGUUCACAAUGUGUGCUUGCAACCAUUCAGUCUCUGGUCCAAGAAUCCACUGGGACAAACUCUGGCUGCAUGGCAGGCCCAAACCCAGAGUCCUCUGGCAAAGAAGGUGCAGGGAAAAUCACUGGCUAAAUGGGCCCAAUCCCAAGCUCAGGCUGAGCUACAACAGUAUCUUUAUUUAUAAAAUAUGUACACUACAUUCUCUGGUCAUGUCUGUUCACAUCUUAGCACACUGCACAGAGCACACCGCAUUCAUCUUUUCUGGUUUGCACAGGAAACUCCAAAAGUGGCACUCUACCAAUUUUAUCUACCUCCAUUAUUUUAUAUGACUACCCCAGAGGAGACAGGCAUUGAAGGCCUAUCCCCUCUGCCUUAGUUAUCGCAUUCCAUCCUAAACAUUAGAUAUCCCUUUGUUAUUGUCCUAACAAGAUUCCACCAUGGAAAAAGUAAGAAGGUCUGCUUGAUUUAUGUGAGUUAUGUUUCACAACGCUUCUAAAGUAGUCCUUGUAAAUAAAUGACUACAGUGUGAAGUCACAAAAAUCAUUGGGUGGUUGAGACCCUUCAUACAUUAUGCAUCAUCUCUAAUAUGCACAAAUAACUGCUUUAAAGGUCUUCUACAUGCAAGAGAAAUACAGUUUUAAAGGAUCACACUGACAGAAGAUAACAAUAGGCAGUUUCCACAGAGGCUGCAAAAGCCAUUAAGAAAUUUCUGGCAAUGAAAAUUCUGUGUCUGUGUUGUUGUUACUGUGUUUUCCCCAUCUAUGCUUCUGCAAUGCUGCUCUUUGAGUGUACAUAUCAGCUGGAUAUAUCAAUAUCAAUGCUUUUGUUACUGGAGUGUUUUGCUUUCUUCUCAGUGCUCAAACCAGUUCCCCUUUUGGUAACCCUUCCAAUAGCCAUUACUACUGACAAUUGACUGUGGAGAAAACUUUAGAAGUGGAGUAAAAUCAAUCUACUCUGCAAAAAUACAAAUAAAUGACUUCACUCAAAAAAUAGAAAGGCAGAAAGGGAUCAGAAAAGAAUGUCCACUCUCACUUCUACUUUUUAUACUAGCAGUGGAAGAGUUGGCAAGGCAAAUUCGAUCAAAUACCAAUAUGGCAUGUGUAACGAUUUGGCAAAAAAAAAAAAAUACAAGAUAAGAUUCUUUGUAGAUGGCAUUGCAAUUUUGACACAAAAUCAUCUGCAGAACAUUCCAAAAGCAUUAAAAAUAAUGGAAUUUGGAAAUGUGGCAGGACUGUCAAUCAAUCAAGACAAAACAAAAAUUAUAACUCAUAAUAUGAAUAAAGAGAAUCAAGAGAUGCUGAAACAAAAGUCAAAAAUUGAUAUUAUAGCUAAAGUAAAAUAUCUGGGAAUUCAAUUAACAAAUAAUCAUUGUGAACGGUUCAAAAAUAAUUAUGAAAAAGUAUGGAAAGAUAAACAAAAAAUUUACAAAGAUGGAACAAUUUGGAUUUGUCCUUAUUUGGAAGAACAUUGACAAUUAAAAUGAAUGUACUUCACAAAAUGAUAUAACUGUUUCAACCAAUUCCAAUUUUGGAAUAAAGAUUUGACAAAAUGUAUAUGGAAAAAUUAAUAGCUAGAAUAAACAUGAAACGCCUACAAGAUGUGAAAGACAAAGGAAUAAUUGCAUUACCAAGUAUGGGACAAUAUUAUGAUGCAGUUGUAUGGGCAUAGAUUAAAGAAUUGAUUGUUUUAAAUUAAAGAUUAUUAACAAUUGAAGGGACAAAUUUAAGAUGUGGUUGGCAUGCAUUUUUAUAUAUGACAAAAUGAAAUUGCACUUUAAGAAACAUCAGAUAAGGAGCUCAUUGAUAAGUAAAUGGACCUUUUUACAAUAAACUAUCAGAAUGGACAAAAUGGCAAGAGGCUAAGAACACCAAGGAGAGAAUACUUAACAUAAACAAUUAUUAGAUAAGGGGACACCACAGAAAUUAAAAACACUACAGGAUCUGGGAUUUCCUGCCUUGAUAUUCUGGGUUAUAUGGCUGUGUGGAAAGGCCCUGGGAGAAGAGACUAGAAGAUCGUGAGAUAAUCCUGGAAGAAGAUACAGCAUUGAACUUAUUGUUUGGUGGCAACAUCACUCCUCCCUUAACUGUAGUAGAUACAUGGACAUUUAAAUUUUAUAUACUCCUUGAUAUGAAGAAAUAGAUGUAUUUUUAAAAAGGAAAAAUGCUUUUAAAAUAAUGUGGGGUGCUUCAAUGUAAUAAGGACACAGGGCCCUUCCACACAGUCAUAUAACCCAGAAUAUCAAGGCAGAAAAUCCCACAAUAUCUGCUUUGAACUGGUUUAUAUGAGUCCACACUACCAGUAGAUAAUGUGGGAUUCUAUUGUUGAUGGGGUUCAAAGGGCUCUUUGAUUGUAAGUGAACUAUAAAUCCCAGCAACUAUUCAUUAUAUAAUCUGCACACUUAUUGGCAGUAAACUCCCAACUAUGGGCCUUUCCACCCAGCCAUGAAACCCAUAAUAUCAAGGCAGAAAAUCCCACAAUAUCUGCUUUGAACUGGGUUAUAUGAGUCCACAUUGUCAUAUAUUCCAGUUCAAAGCAGAUAAUGUGGCCUUUAUAUUCAGGCUGUAUUUUCAUGUAUCAUGGACCAAAAUUCUUUUGCCUUUUUACACUUCCACCAAAUGUGGUGGUAGGAGCCCUCCUCUUCACCACAUUUCCAACAUUUUAAAUUCCUGCUUUUUUAAAUAAUGCCCAGUUUUUUAGGUGUUAUGUACCAUCUAUAGAAUACUUUCAUCCAAUUUUCUUUUAAUUGGUAUGCAUAUGUAAAUUUAAGCCUUCUACCCCAACAAGCUUCCCAUUCAUCCAUUUGAAUUGAUAUUCCUAUAUCUGUGAUGUCUCAGGGACCUUUUGCCCAUGACCAUCAUAGCCAUCAUAGAUCAAACUGAAGAGGAUUUGGGCUUUUUUCCAUCUCAGCAAGAUUCUGUUCCAUUCCAGAUGUCUCCUGUUGGCAUUUUCGUGCUAGAGCCAAUUAGGGAUGCCCUUGAAACAGAGCCUGUUUCUCCAGAAAGCUUGGUGUUUGAUAGGAAGGCUUUUCUCAAAACACAUCGCUCCCAAAAGCAGUUUUUAAGGCAAAGUGCAAGAUUAGCGGAGACGAUUGUGACUAAACCGUUUCCCUUGGGAAGUUUCGGGGAGGCAGGCAUCUGGUACGAUGUUGAAACAGCUCUGUUCUCUGGGAAAAUUUGGGGAGUCAAACACCUGCUUGGGGGGAGUUCUUGAACUUCCAUAAAAGUUCUGCACUGAGCUUUCCCUAUUGCAGUGUCAACAUGACUAUUCAUAGAAGAACAUUGUCUCUUGUUCCUGAGCUUCCAAGCGGCCCUCCGGUGUGCUUACUCACGAGUAGACCAGGAGUUGCGUCCCACUCCUUGUCAAGUUUGGACUGCGUUUCAGAUUCACCACGAAAUACCUUGCCUAGCCUUGAAUUCUUGUUCUGGACUUUACUUCAAGAAUCUCCCUGUGAAACCUUGCUCUUUCCCCACUCAAACUUCCAAAGAGUUUGAGUGUGUUUCGGUUAUUUGGAUUAUAGAAUUUGGACUCUAAUACUGGACAUAUAACUUCAUUUUAUUGAACUAAUUUUGAUCUUCUCUAAAAGGUCAACUGCUGGACUAUAUACUCUGCUUAUUUUUGUUUAGAACUUUUAUUGCUUUAAUAAAGAUAUUAGAUUGUU